GACGAACGCUGGCGGCGUGCUUAACACAUGCAAGUCGAACGGAAAGGCCCUGCUUUUGUGGGGUGCUCGAGUGGCGAACGGGUGAGUAACACGUGAGUAACCUGCCCUUGACUUUGGGAUAACUUCAGGAAACUGGGGCUAAUACCGGAUAGGAGCUCCUGCUGCAUGGUGGGGGUUGGAAAGUUUCGGCGGUUGGGGAUGGACUCGCGGCUUAUCAGCUUGUUGGUGGGGUAGUGGCUUACCAAGGCUUUGACGGGUAGCCGGCCUGAGAGGGUGACCGGCCACAUUGGGACUGAGAUACGGCCCAGACUCCUACGGGAGGCAGUAGUGGGGAAUAUUGCACAAUGGGCGGAAGCCUGAUGCAGCAACGCCGCGUGCGGGAUGACGGCCUUCGGGUUGUAAACCGCUUUCGCCUGUGACGAAGCGUGAGUGACGGUAAUGAGUAAAGAAGCACCGGCUAACUACGUG
This 468-nucleotide ribosomal RNA is filed under the name uncultured bacterium. RNAcentral's name for it is "partial 16S ribosomal RNA". It matches the Rfam family "Bacterial small subunit ribosomal RNA", at positions 28 to 507 of the family's 1533-position model. The record is from RNAcentral.